AUGACCUUCAAGGAUGAGAAUAACAUUCAGGAAUGGAGUGGAACGUUUGCGUCAGUAGUAUAUUCAAAUCACGAAUCACUUUGCACAAAUUCAGGAACGUGUACAUGGCUGUCAGGAAGAUACCUAUGCAGGACCCGAAGAUACUUUCGCUUCCGAGGCACGUGGUUUUUUCAUUUGGGGUGUGACAAGCACGCGAAUAUUUUGCUCUCGAGGUGUCUUUCGCAUGAUUUGUGCCCCCAUCAUGCUACUUGUCCCGCUCCCACGAUGGCUCAACCGCCCCCGUCCAGCGCCGCCACUUCCCCCGUACCGUCCGUCCUAUUCUGUCUGUCGCCUCCCUCCCAAUCUAGUCCCACUUCGGCAUUGAGCGCCCCCUACCCCUGCCGUCAAGGGCCACCGUCCCUGCGGGCGACGUCUAGAUCCGUCUGA
RNAcentral lists this ribosomal RNA (426 nucleotides) under Triticum aestivum (bread wheat). RNAcentral describes it as "partial small subunit ribosomal RNA". Lineage: Eukaryota; Viridiplantae; Streptophyta; Magnoliopsida; Poales; Poaceae. The record is from RNAcentral.